This 1446-nucleotide unclassified non-coding RNA is filed under the name Hevea brasiliensis (rubber tree). The record is from RNAcentral. Lineage: Eukaryota; Viridiplantae; Streptophyta; Magnoliopsida; Malpighiales; Euphorbiaceae.
AUUUCUUUAAGCAUGCUCUCCCAAAAGAAACUACGAAAACAAUUAAUAAAAACACAGAACCAAGAAACUGACCCAUCUCUCAAAUCCAUCAACAAUGGCGGAAGAAAACCCCACUCUUCAAUCUCUCUUCCAUGCACUUGACCCCAUGUCUCUAAUCCUUUCCCACAAUUCCUUAGACUCUCGCCAACCGGUCCCUCUGAAACUCACCACGGAUAGCUACAUCAUGGAGAGAGGACCAAGAUACAGAGCAUAUGCAGAGUUGCGAGAAUCAAAGCUGAGAAUGAAGAUCUUAAGGCAACAAGAAAGAGAUGAGAGUGAUUUUAAACAAACACCACCGAAGAAACAGGUCAAAUUUCAAGCCAAUUUAACUAGUUCAAGAAAAGGGUCUUCUGUUUUGGCCCAGUCAGUGCCAGAUUUCUCAGCUACUUUAAGAAAAGAGAAUCGAAAGCCGAAGCCAGAGUGGACACCUCCAUCAAAGAAUUGGUCAACGAUAAAUGGGAUUCUGUCGAAUUCUAGAGGAAGUAAGUCAGCGAGCGCUGGAGAGAAAAAGAAUGGAAAUGGGGGACUAAUGUCGAGAAAGAGCUGUGCAAGUGUUGAAGCAUUGAAGGGAUUGUCAAUGGCUGCAGCCACUGCUAUAAAUGGCGAAAACAGGGGAGGAAGAGGUGGCAGAGUAAUUGGCAAGACUGUGUUGGGUUUGAGGCAGUUCUGACUUUGAAUCCAUGGUGAUUCUACAAAUGAUGUGAGAGAUUUGUUAUUUUCUUUUAAUUUCAUUUUCUUGGGUUCUUAAUUGGAUGUGGCGUUAUGAGAGGUUUUCUUUGUUACUGCUACGAUUCUUUGUUUAGUUGAGAGAUUUGCUUAUGGUGGAUUGUAAAGCUCUGGAUGUAAUCAUGUUUAACUUAUGAUUAAGCUCAUUCACUAACAAAAAUAAAUAAGCAAAUAAAUAAAGUCUUAAUGCUUACAAUAUAAAAGAUUCCAUGAGUUUGUUAGGAGUUUAUAUCAGCACCUGAGAUGCAUCUCAAGUCAUGGCUAUUGAUGCCAAAACAAACAUAUAACUAUAAUCCGAUCUGGUGACUGUGUCCCCUCAUUCUUGACAUGAAUACUGCCUAUCCAUAAUAUCAGAGUCCCAAAUGCCACGAGGUACGAGCAUUAACAAAUUAAAAAUUGAACCUUUGCAACUGCAGACUUGUGGUGUACAUCCAGCAUUCUGAUGCUGCUGAUAUAAACUAAGCAAGUUUUCAGAUUCAUGAUCAUACCACUGAUGUUUCCAGCCAGUGUUCUCAACUUCUCAUUUUCAUAGCGCCCUUCUUCUGAAGUUUUGUUUUGAGUCUGGAUUCAUUGCCUUUUUCCUUUCAUUGUUAAUUGUUAUGUUCAGUGGUUAAUAGUUUAUAUCAUGAUUAAUGUGCAUCGUUUGACAGCUACUCGCCAAAUAUCAAGGAAAUAAAAGUA